GAUUUCACAAAUUAAGUCUACUUGGGCAAUGGGUGCUUUCAACCGUCUCCUACCUUUCCUCUUCCCUAACUAUUCUUUGUUGCUUAUACCGCUUCACAUUCCAACAUCGAUUUCUCAGCAAUUAAUUAUUUCCAUUUUUCAAUAAAACUUCACACCGUUUUCGGUUAAUCUUCAAUUUCAUCAUCAAUUUCUCUUAUCCCAAUCCAAUUCAUCUCAUCUUCAAUGUCAUCUUCUCCACUCAUAACUACACUUUUCCAUUCCCCUUCCCACAUUCUCUCUCUCUCUCUCUCUGAGUCCCAAUUUCUCUCUUCUCUCUUUUCAACAUAAAACCUAACACCGUCGUCAUUAGUGUUUUGAGUUUUGUUAGUGUCUGAAUGUUUAAUUUUGCGUUUUUCAGAUUUCAGGCGGAGUUACUGCUGCGGAGGGAUUUAUAGCUGCGGGAAUGUAUGGAGGAUUAUGUGAUGCAUGUUAGCUUUCUCAUCCUAAUGAUUAUCGUAAUUUUAAUUUUGUUUUUGGUAUGCGCUCUAAAAAACAAAUUUCUUUGAAGGUCAUUCACAACUAAUGUGGUUGUUGCGGCUCCGGCGUUAUACUGCAAAAGGAAGCUAGAAAUUUCUGACACUUUAAGCGACUUUUGUGUUCCUUGAUUACACUCUAAUUUGCUUGAUUUCUUGCUGAUUCGUCAAUUUUAUAAAAUUUUCUGGCACAUGUUGUGUUAACUAAAGCAGGUCAAGCCAAUGCCGCAACGGUAGGCCACAAAAUCUCUUUUUACCUCAUGUGCAUGUAUGAAUUGAAUAAUAAUCGGUGGAUAGUCUACUGAAGUGUAGUAUUACUAUAGAUAAUUCAGUUUGAUGAAUGUUUUACAACACCUUAGAUCAUUUAACAGGUUUUUGUGUGUUUGAGAAAUUAAAUAAAUAUUUUAGUGGUUUAAUCCUUUCAUCUAUCCAGGGCGAAGCAGGUUACCUGUAUACUAUACGAUAGAGUGUGUAGAAAGUCUUGCAAAGGUUUUGAAGGAAGGAAUUCAUUAUAGAUGAAGCUUGCAUCUUUGCUUAUAACACUGUAAUCAGAGACAACAACACCAACAAAAGCUCUAGGGACUUAAAAAACUUCACCAACAAAAGACUGUGGAACAUGACUGUCGAUUGUCAAAAAACUUCAUCAAAAAUUGGUGUCAACUUUAUGGUGUUUCUGAAGCGUGUGUGGUGGCUGUUGUCUCCGUGGAUCUUCGUCGGGCGAUGGUUAUGAAUCAUAAUACUAUUAUUCAUGACUGCUUACGUGGAUCAUAGAGAAUAGCGACAACAUCAUACUUUGUUUCCUUUUGAAUGAAUCUGAGUAUUCUUUUAAAUUGUGAACUGUUGGUGUUGUUGUGUUUCGUUCUCUGACAUUUUGAUGUUUGGUGUAUUGUUAAUGGUGGCUAGAGAAUUGGCUGUUGGAAGAUAGGUUAUUGUAAUGUUGUAUUUGUGGGUGAUUUGGGUGAAGGGUGUUAUUUUAUUGUAACAAAAAAAAUUGAUGGUUGAUGUUGGGGUGUUUGGCUUAGGUGCUUUGUGAAGAUAACAUGGUAACUGUACUACAAAGUUUUUGUGUAUGAAUUUUUUGGGUUCUUUUGUUUCU
Long non-coding RNA from Vicia villosa (hairy vetch), 1608 nucleotides. RefSeq lists it as uncharacterized. NCBI's taxonomy places the organism in Eukaryota, Viridiplantae, Streptophyta, Magnoliopsida, Fabales, Fabaceae. The record is from RefSeq and is a predicted model, not a curated record. The transcript is spliced from 2 exons.